This 61-nucleotide non-coding RNA is filed under the name Clostridium pasteurianum. RNAcentral describes it as "Fluoride sequence". It matches the Rfam family "Fluoride riboswitch aptamer (crcB RNA motif)". Lineage: Bacteria; Bacillati; Bacillota; Clostridia; Eubacteriales; Clostridiaceae. RNAcentral also lists the same sequence under 1 other name. The record is from RNAcentral.
GUAAAAAUAGGUGAUGGAGUUCACCUUUAAGUGCUGAAAUGCUGAUGACUCCUACAGAUUU